Long non-coding RNA from Mustela putorius furo (domestic ferret), 4621 nucleotides. The record is from Ensembl. NCBI's taxonomy places the organism in Eukaryota, Metazoa, Chordata, Mammalia, Carnivora, Mustelidae.
CGGGCAGAAUCAAGGAGGUGUCUGAGAGUCACUUGUCCAGGAAAACUUCGUUCCUGAGUGGCAGCACCUGCGACCACGCUACUUCGUGAGCGCGUAGGCCCCGAGGAGGCAGGGUCUGGAUAUUUUACCCAGAGCGUUUCUUUACUGAGCACGGGGAGAAUCCUUUUCCGUGGAAAAAUUUCAGUUCUGUGGUAACUUGGUAGCUGGUGUUAGUGGAACACCUGCUAUGUGUUUGCGGAGCCCUUCUACCUGUUUUACAUAGAUUAUAUGAAAUCCUUGCACUAACCGUUAGGUAGCUGUAUUCUUAUUACCAUUUUGCAGAUGUGGGGACCGAGGGGCCUCACAACUCUGGAACUAGCCCGGGGGGUCUCCAGCCCGCAAUAGCUGGGGUCAGCUUGCUGGCAGCCUCCCGCCCCGCCGGGGUCUGCUGCCUCAGCGGUGCAAGGGAUCGGGUCCCAAAUUCAUUUGCCAAACUGAGCCAUAGUUAAUUUGCUUCUCCUUAGAACUUUCCCCACUAAACUGUGAAAUUAAAUUGGGUGAAAGUGAAGCAUAUUGUACAGAAAAGUGCAGAAAUCACAUUUCAGUGAAUUAUUACAAUGUGGGCACCCUUGUAUAACCGUUACUGAGUUUAAGAACAGAGCAUGACCAGCACCCCAGAAGCUACCCAAUUCCCUCAGUUGCUGCCUGGCUCCUCUUCGGAGGUGACUCCUUUCCUGAAUUGUACCACCAAAGACCUCCUGGUUCCGCAGUAUCCUGGAGCUCAAGGCAAUUAUGGCUGAAGGAUUUCAGGAGAUACACGGACUAUGGCAAAGAAGAGAGGAGCAGAGACACUCUUCUUUGUUCUCUUCCUGGACUAUUGGCAAGGUCUCUUAUGGUUGGCGCCUUUCCUACCAGUCUCAGAUGGGAGAACCAAGUCCCUCAGAACUUCACUGCCCGAGAUCAUAAGGCACUCAGAGGGUGGACUAGAAACCAAGUUCGGUGCUCUUCCUCCUAGAGCAGGUAAAGUGUGUGAUGCUUCUCUGGAAACACCAUGUAAAAAAGUAGAGAUUUAAAAAGAUUUCAUGUCGGUCCAAUGAAUGAUUUAAUCACAGCUAAGGUUUAUUUUCUCCACAGGUUCAAAUACUGAAAUUUCAUCAAGUUCAAAAAAUAUGGAUGAAGGUUUGGCUAAAAUAUUUGGUAAGUACCUCCCUAGUGUGAAGCUACCCUACUGUUUGAAAGAGUCUCACCCUUCUCGAGGGUCAUCUCUCAGCUAACCCUAUGUUUUGAUGGGAGGGAAAGUGCUGGCGUUGAUGCUGCAGCAAAUUCUUUAAAGAGUCAGAGUCCCAGGAAAUUAGGAAAGUAUGGAAGGUAAACACUUGGCAAGGAUUCCGGUCCUCAGAGAGAGCUCCGUGCAGCAGAGCAGGACUACCACAUGGGAAUUAUUUCAGGUGCUGAGCUGGACCCCACCCUAGACCAGCAGCAUCACAACUGCCUGAUGAGGGGCCUGGGAGAUUCCUGUAGCAAUGGAUGGUGAGGCCUGAGGCUGAGAUAAACCUUCUCCCCAGGUCUUCAGCCCUAGCUGAGCACAAGGAUCCCCUGGAGAGAUUGUUAAAAAGAGGCAGACAGCUCCUCCUCCCUUCUCUCCCACACCAGUGAUCAGAUUCCUUGGUGGGGGAUGAUCUUGCUCUGGGACUUUUUUCCCAGAGAAGGCUCUCGUCUCUGGUGGUGUGUGUGGAUUAGGGGUAGACACUGAGAGUUACAUCUGGUCUGAGAAAGAGCUCUCAGGAGUGUGAGCACUGAUGCUUCCCUCUGGAUUAGGACCUGUUGGAUGUUCUGAUUGCAGAACUAUGCCUGCCAGUCCUGCUUGAAAGGGCCAUCUCUCUACAUGGGACAUGGGCCUUUUUUUCCAGGAACUGCCCCAUGUUGGGAAUUCUGGGUUUGUCCUUCCUCCACGUGUGCUAUUAAAGAGGCUCCAGGGGACCUGCACUGAGUGUCUGGCUGGUUGCAGGGGUAGUUACCAUGACUGAAUGAGUGAAGGGAUUCAGAUAGCUCUUGCAGCCAACUUACUGUGCUGGGAAUUCUCACCCGGAAAUCAGAGACUUUUGUCCUUUUUGCAGAAGCCCCAUGUCUCUGAAUCCCACCCCACAUGUGUGGAAGGGGAGUGAGUGAGUGUGAAGGUGGGUGUCUGGUUUGGGGUUUGGGAGGAUCCCUUUAUACCCCAAAGGCCUAUUGACCUUCCCAGCACCACAUUAGUGUUGGCCUUGGCAUUGGGGGGCCACCAAUAAAAUUUCCAGGUUUUCUCUGAGCAACAAUUCAGGAUCUUGUAGGUCAGCACAUCUGUCAUGGAAAGGGCUGGUAAUGAGAACUUAUCAUUUUUUUUAAAUAUUUUAUUUAUUUAUUUGACAGAGAGAGACCACAAGUAAACAGAGAGGCAGGCAGAGAGAGAGAGGGAAGCAGGCUCCCCGCUGAGCAGAGAGCCCGAUGCGGGACUCGAUCCCAGGACCCUGAGAUCAUGACCUGAGCCGAAGGCAGCAGCUUAACCCACUGAGCCACCCAGGCGCCCAAGAACUUAUCAUUUUACUAGUAAUUCCUUUAGCUGAUUUUUGGGUGUUGCUGUUGUAAGCACCUAUUUUAUCAAGAGUAGACUACCCACCAAUGUAACAACAACCCUUAAAAAAGAACUCAGUAUAAAUAUCAUAUCAAUGGAAUUUUGAUUAUUUUUUGUGGCUUAGCAAAGUUAACCUAGAAGGGGAAAAAUGAAACCGUUGUCCCCCAGGGAGAAAUAGACACUGCCUUUAAAAAAGAAGGAGGGGUGCCUAGGUGGCUCAAUCAGUUAAAUGUCCAGUUCUUGGUUUUGGCUCAGGUCAUGAUCUCAAGGUUGUGAGAUCAAGCCCCACCUCAGGCUUCAUGUUCAGUGGGAAGUCUGCUUGAGAUUCUCUCUCUCCCUUUCUCCCCCUCCAAUCAUGCUCUCUCUCUCUAAAUAAACAAAAAUAAAUAAAAUAAAAAAAUUAAAAAAAAUCUUUAAAAAAAUAAAAUACAAAUAAAAGGAGAAAUUAAUAUAUUUCAAAAAAUAGAACUAUGAAAAAGUACUAACAGUUUUAUAAAGGAAGAGUUUUCUGAACUUACAGAAUCUGUUAUCUAUAAGUGCUGAGUCUUUUCUUUCCCUGCCACUAGCCUCCACCCAAUUUUUGUAGGUACAGUGUUCAUAUACAACAUUUUUUCCCAAAAGAUUUUAUUUAUGUAUCUGACAGAGAGAGAGAUCACAAGUAGGUAGAGAGGGGGAAGCAGGCUCCCUGCUGAGCAGAGAACACGAUGUGGGCUCGAUCCCAGGACCUUGAGAUGAUGACCUGAGCCGAAGGCAGAGGCUUAACCUACUGAGCUACCCAGGUGCCCCUGUAUACAGCAUUUGUAAGUGAAUUUUGAAACCCUCUGAGGAGAACCUUGCCCUUUGACUUUGUCAUGUCGUGGCAAUCCUGAUGUGACAUGGAAUUCUCUGGGUCAGCCCCUCCCUCACUCCUGGGAUCUUGGUGGGGACUGUCACCAGUCUGCAGCAGUCCUCCCAAGACUACCUCAAAGACUUUUCAUGAUGCUUGCAGCUCAUUGAAUCAGCGUCCUUAGUCCCAAGUUUCCUGCAUGUCACGUACUGACCCAUCAGGGCUGCCGAGAUCAUGGUGAGCACCAGUGUAUAGGUGAAGGGAGUUGACUGACACCUGACAUCUACACACAGGAAUGAUUUUUGAGGUGUAAACAUCAUGGUCAACUGGAUUCAGAACUCAGCCUUACCUGGCAGGACCCACUUCCUCUUCUCAGUCUGCUUAGCUUAGUGCCUGCCUUCUGGCUUUCUUGGGCUGAGUUGGUUUUCCUCUCGUGUCUGCUCUGUCCCUUGUCUAAUUGCUCUGUGCAACUGUGUCACUGUGUUUGCUUGUGUCUGUGUGUACUUCUGCCUCUCCCACAUGUCUCGAUGGCUCAGGGUUGCAGACCAGGCAGUGUGUUUCCAUCUGCUUUGUUUUUGUCUUCUUUAAAAUAUUUUUAAAAUAUUUAACCAUUCAGCACCGACAAUGUAUGUCAACUGUUAUACAGAGUUUCUUUGAACAAUUUGGGUUCCAAAUGUUUAUUUUGGUCCUAUUAUUUGAAGUUGGACCAAAUUUUACCCUCAAAACAGUACAAUAUGAUUCACAGUGAUACCACCUUAUGUACCCCUCCCCACAUUUAUUGAGACACAAAUGACAUAUAACACUGUAUAAGUUUAAGGUGUAAACAUGGUGAUUUGAUACAUAUUAUAUGAUGCAAAAUGAAGAACAUCACAGUAUUAACCUAAUUUCCUCCAUCACGCCCUGUAAUUAUUUCUUCUUUAUGCUGAGAACAUUUAAGAUCUACUAUCUUAGCACCUUCCAAGUAUGUAAUAUGGUAUCAUGAACUAUAAUCACAAUGUUGUACAUUGUAUACCCAGAACUUACUCAUCUUGUAAUUGGAACUUUGAAACGUGAUCAAUAUCUCCCCAUUUCCCCCAACCCUGACCCCUGGAAGUCACUAUUCUAUUUUCUGUUUCUAUGAGUUUAGUUUUUUUAGAUUUUAUGUAGAAGUGAGAUCAUAUAGUAUUUGUGUUUCUCUGUUUGACUUAUUUCAUUCAGCAUAAUGCCCU